RNAcentral lists this ribosomal RNA (503 nucleotides) under uncultured bacterium. Its description in RNAcentral is "bacterial SSU rRNA". It matches the Rfam family "Bacterial small subunit ribosomal RNA", at positions 36 to 518 of the family's 1533-position model. The record is from RNAcentral.
CUGGCGGCGUGCUUAACACAUGCAAGUCGAACGCGAAAGGGACUUCGGUCCUGAGUAAAGUGGCGCACGGGUGAGUAACGCGUAGAUAACCUGUCUUCAUGUCUGGAAUAAUACGCCGAAAGGGGUACUAAUACCGGAUAUUCUUGCUUUUCAUAAGUUAUGCAAGCAAAGGUGGCCUCUGCAUAUGCUACUGCAUGAAGAGGGGUCUGCGUACCAUUAGCUAGUAGGUGGGGUAAUGGCCUACCUAGGCGACGAUGGUUAGCGGGUCUGAGAGGAUGAUCCGCCACACUGGCACUGGAACACGGGCCAGACUCCUACGGGAGGCAGCAGUGAGGAAUAUUGCGCAAUGGGGGAAACCCUGACGCAGCGACGCCGCGUGAGUGAGGAAAGGCCUUCGGGUCGUAAAGCUCUGUCAAGAGGAAAGAAGUGUACAAUGGCUAAUACCUGUUGUAUUUGACGGUACCUCUAAAGGAAGCACCGGCUAACUCCGUGCCAGCAGCAGC